This 1050-nucleotide ribosomal RNA is filed under the name Hyphoconis sterilis. RNAcentral's name for it is "eukaryotic LSU rRNA". It matches the Rfam family "Eukaryotic large subunit ribosomal RNA", at positions 151 to 1445 of the family's 3401-position model. The record is from RNAcentral. Lineage: Eukaryota; Fungi; Ascomycota; Dothideomycetes; Arthrocatenales; Arthrocatenaceae.
GUAGAGGAUGCUUCUGAGUUGUCACCGGUCUAAGUUCCUUGGAACAGGACGUCAUAGAGGGUGAGAAUCCCGUAUGUGACCGGCCAGACGCUCUGUACGUAGCUCCUUCGACGAGUCGAGUUGUUUGGGAAUGCAGCUCUAAAUGGGAGGUAAAUUUCUUCUAAAGCUAAAUACCGGCCAGAGACCGAUAGCGCACAAGUAGAGUGAUCGAAAGAUGAAAAGCACUUUGGAAAGAGAGUUAAAAAGCACGUGAAAUUGUUGAAAGGGAAGCGCUUGCAACCAGACUUGUCGGCGGUGUUCCGCCGGUCUUCUGACCGGUCCACUCACCGUUUGCAGGCCAGCAUCGUCUGGGACCGUCGGAUAAAGGCUUUGGGAAUGUAGCUCCCUCGGGAGUGUUAUAGCCCUUUGCACAAUACGACGCGACCCGGGCGAGGUCCGCGCUUCGGCUAGGAUGCUGGCGUAAUGGUUGUAAGCGGCCCGUCUUGAAACACGGACCAAGGAGUCUACCAUCUAUGCGAGUGUUCGGGUGUCAAACCCCUACGCGUAAUGAAAGUGAACGGAGGUGGGAACUUUUUGUGCACCAUCGACCGAUCCUGAUGUCUUCGGAUGGAUUUGAGUAAGAGCAUAGCUGGUGGGACCCGAAAGAUGGUGAACUAUGCCUGAAUAGGGUGAAGCCAGAGGAAACUCUGGUGGAGGCUCGCAGCGGUUCUGACGUGCAAAUCGAUCGUCAAAUUUGGGUAUAGGGGCGAAAGACUAAUCGAACCAUAAGGUUGCUAGGUGGUUGAGAGUUGAACUAGACGGUGAGACAAUCCGUCGACACCAUCAAAUUACGGGGAGUCUCUUAGAGGCUCGCCUCUGCCGUCGUGGCCUGGAAACAGGUAGCGGCUGGCUGUCUUCACCGGCGGCCGUAGGGUAGAGGCGGGAUUGAGAUACCGCGUAGCCAAGUCCUAGAGCCGCCCGCGGGGCGGUACGGACGCAGUCCACAGACUGGACGUUGGUGGGCCCGCAUUGAACUGUGGGCUUCAGAUAGAGUCGUCCCGUUGUUAACGC